CUCAAGUCGCUCCAGCAGCCUUCCUCUGUGGACUUUUUAUUCCCAUUGAACGUGUGUGGAAAAUUUUCAUCAUUUUUAUUGAGAGAAGGGACAUGAUAGUAACCAGGAUGGAAAAGGUUCUCCCUCCAGGGGAAAUGAAGAAGGUUGAAUCACUGGAUUUAUAGAGACGCUUUAGACAUUUUACUGGGUUAGGUAUGACUGCAAUGUGGUAGAGACAGAAGCUGCAGUCAAAGCUCCUGUGAUCCGGUGCAGACUUCAUAGAGACCAGCAGAUGGAGGGGAGAGGAGCUGCGUGCAUCCUGA
Epinephelus fuscoguttatus (brown-marbled grouper) is the source of this 302-nucleotide long non-coding RNA. RefSeq lists it as uncharacterized. The transcript has 3 exons. NCBI's taxonomy places the organism in Eukaryota, Metazoa, Chordata, Actinopteri, Perciformes, Serranidae. The record is from RefSeq and is a predicted model, not a curated record.